This is a non-coding RNA of Camellia sinensis, 1438 nucleotides long. The record is from RefSeq and is a predicted model, not a curated record. Lineage: Eukaryota; Viridiplantae; Streptophyta; Magnoliopsida; Ericales; Theaceae.
ACAGGAAAAAUGGGAUAUGGUGGCGUUUUUUUAACGACGUUUUUUUGAACGUCACUUUUAUUAAUAUUUAACGGCGUUUUAUAAACGCCACCUAUUCUUUAAAAUAAAACUACACCGUUUUAUAAUAGGAGUCGCUUUUAAACGCCUCCAAAUCCGUUAGCCUCACGCGCCUCCUCUGUCCCUCUUUGUUGAAACCCUUAUUUUGAAUCUGAGAUGUAAUACGCACGCAUCUCUCUCUCUUUCUCUCAACCCUCUCAUUCUCACACCUUCAAAUCUCGCCUCUCUCCUGCUCACCCCCAAUUGCUUCUAAACCCUCGAGAGCGAUUUUCUUGGAGAUUCAGAUUCAUGCAGGUUCAUUUUGAGAUUCAGAGCGAUUUCGAUUUUGAAGAUCUCUCUCUCGAUUUCAAAGCUCCACCGUCUCUCUCUCUCUCUCUAGAUCUGGCCGGUAAUCAUAGUUUUAUGAGAGAAGAAAGAGGACAGGGACUGGGAGCUUGCGAAGAGAGAGGCAGUGCUUGAUUUCUCAGAGAUUCAGAUCGGUCUCAGAGAUUUCAUCUCUCAGCGAUUUCGAUUUUGAAGUUCUCUCUCUCGAUUUCGAGGCUCCACCGCGACCACCAUCUGCACCAGCUAGGAUUUGCUGGCCUUGUGUGAAAGUGACCGGAAGAAGGAGCUUUUGCUGCUACUACAGAUCAUUGACAUAAAGAUUAUUUCUCUAGGUCAUCUACCAAAUAUUUUCAGAUCCUUGGGGAGGCUUUUAUUGGAGUCUUUUGUGAAGAAAUUCAUUUUGGAAUUAAAAAGCUGUGAAAUUUGUCUGUCUCUGAUUUUGCAGCAGUGCUAUUUAUACUUGGGUUCAGAUUUUGAAGCGAAUUGGCAUCCUUAAUGGAAGUAUUAGUACCUUUUGUGUGUUCUGUAACAAUUGGGUUGAGGAAAAAUGGACCAUGUUCUGUUGCUCUACCCGUUGAGUUGGUGUGUUUGGUCGAAUAUUUUAAUUGGUGGGGAAUCCAAUGGGUCACGCCGGGUCCGGUGAUAGAGUUGUUGCAUUGGUGGGAUGGGGUUUCUUUCAGAAAGAUAGAAAAACAAAUUUGGAAAGUAAUCCCCAUGGCAAUUUUGCUGCUCAAAAAUAAAUAAAUAAAAAUUGCCAACAGGGUGAAGCUUAACCUCAAGGGAGUUUUGUAUUCUGUCAAUGAUUUUCUAUAUAACCUGCAGCAUAUUCGGUCAUGUUAUUAGACUUGUGGUUAGGAUUGUUGUUAGAUAUUGGCUAUGUUGUUUCUUGUUGGUUUUGCUUGGGCCUUCUCUAUUGACAUUUUAAAGGGUUGAUUGUUUAGUUUCUAUUAGGGGUAUUCAAAAUAGCCUGAGAACUGAAGAAUCGAAGAAUCGAAUUAAACCGGUCUCUUUGGGUUAGCUUGAUUUGGUUUUUUUAGUCCAUUGGUUUGGUUCCGGA